RNAcentral lists this ribosomal RNA (494 nucleotides) under uncultured bacterium. RNAcentral describes it as "bacterial SSU rRNA". It matches the Rfam family "Bacterial small subunit ribosomal RNA", at positions 30 to 518 of the family's 1533-position model. The record is from RNAcentral.
UGAACGCUAGCGACAGGCCUAACACAUGCAAGUCGAGGGGCAGCACAAGGAGCAAUCUGAGGUGGCGACCGGCGCACGGGUGAGUAACACGUAUGCAACCUGCCUGUAAGCGGGGAAUAACCCGUUGAAAGACGGACUAAUACCGCAUAAUACUAAAUUACUGCAUGGUAAUUUAUUUAAACAUUUAUGGCUUACAGAUGGGCAUGCGCAUGAUUAGCUAGUUGGAGAGGUAACGGCUCCCCAAGGCAACGAUCAUUAGGGGUUCUGAGAGGAAGGCCCCCACACUGGUACUGAGACACGGACCAGACUCCUACGGGAGGCAGCAGUGAGGAAUAUUGGUCAAUGGACGAGAGUCUGAACCAGCCAAGUCGCGUGCAGGAAGAAUGUUCCCUAUGGAUUGUAAACUGCUUUUGCAGGGGAAUAAAGUGCAUCACGUGUGAUGUUUUGUAUGUACUCUGCGAAUAAGGAUCGGCUAACUCCGUGCCAGCCGCUGC